UGAACCUGCGGAGGGAUCAUUACCGAGUUUACAACUCCCAAACCCCUGUGAACAUACCUAUACGUUGCCUCGGCGGAUCAGCCCGCGCCCCGUAAAAAGGGACGGCCCGCCCGAGGACCCCUAAACUCUGUUUUUAGUGGAACUUCUGAGUAAAACAAACAAAUAAAUCAAAACUUUCAACAACGGAUCUCUUGGUUCUGGCAUCGAUGAAGAACGCAGCAAAAUGCGAUAAGUAAUGUGAAUUGCAGAAUUCAGUGAAUCAUCGAAUCUUUGAACGCACAUUGCGCCCGCCAGUAUUCUGGCGGGCAUGCCUGUUCGAGCGUCAUUUCAACCCUCAAGCUCAGCUUGGUGUUGGGACUCGCGGUAACCCGCGUUCCCCAAAUCGAUUGGCGGUCACGUCGAGCUUCCAUAGCGUAGUAAUCAUACACCUCGUUACUGGUAAUCGUCGCGGCCACGCCGUAAAACCCCAACUUCUGAAUGUUGACCUCGGAUCAGGUAGGAAUACCCGCUGAACUUAAGCAUAUCAAUAAGCGGAGGAA
Molecule: ribosomal RNA, 539 nt
Filed under: Fusarium sp. 4 IDEA_FITOPAT_D077
Lineage: Eukaryota; Fungi; Ascomycota; Sordariomycetes; Hypocreales; Nectriaceae
Description: eukaryotic LSU rRNA
Rfam family: 5.8S ribosomal RNA (bases 172-325)
Source: RNAcentral